This 484-nucleotide ribosomal RNA is filed under the name uncultured bacterium. RNAcentral describes it as "partial 16S ribosomal RNA". It matches the Rfam family "Bacterial small subunit ribosomal RNA", at positions 30 to 507 of the family's 1533-position model. The record is from RNAcentral.
AUUGAACGCUGGCGGCAGGCCUAACACAUGCAAGUCGAGCGGAUGAAGGGAGCUUGCUCCUGGAUUCAGCGGCGGACGGGUGAGUAAUGCCUAGGAAUCUGCCUGGUAGUGGGGGAUAACGUCCGGAAACGGGCGCUAAUACCGCAUACGUCCUGAGGGAGAAAGUGGGGGAUCUUCGGACCUCACGCUAUCAGAUGAGCCUAGGUCGGAUUAGCUAGUUGGUGGGGUAAAGGCCUACCAAGGCGACGAUCCGUAACUGGUCUGAGAGGAUGAUCAGUCACACUGGAACUGAGACGCGGUCCAGACUCCUACGGGAGGCAGCAGUGGGGAAUAUUGGACAAUGGGCGAAAGCCUGAUCCAGCCAUGCCGCGUGUGUGAAGAAGGUCUUCGGAUUGUAAAGUACUUUAAGUUGGGAGGAAGGGCAGUAAGUUAAUACCUUGCUGUUUUGACGUUACCAACAGAAUAAGCACCGGCUAACUUCGUG